Molecule: ribosomal RNA, 515 nt
Filed under: uncultured archaeon
Lineage: Archaea
Description: bacterial SSU rRNA
Rfam family: Archaeal small subunit ribosomal RNA
Source: RNAcentral
AACCUUUACACUGUACGACAGUGCGAUAAGGGAAUCCCAAGUGCGUAGGCAUAGAGCCUACGCUUUUGUCCACCGUAGGGAGGUGGACGAAUAAGGGCUGGGCAAGACCGGUGCCAGCCGCCGCGGUAAUACCGGCAGCCCGAGUGAUGGCCGAUCUUAUUGGGCCUAAAGCGUCCGUAGCUGGCCGCACAAGUCCAUCGGCAAAUCCACCCGCUCAACGGGUGGGCGUCCGGUGGAAACUGUGUGGCUUGGGACCGGAAGGCGCGACGGGUACGUCCGGGGUAGGAGUGAAAUCCCGUAAUCCUGGACGGACCGCCGAUGGCGAAAGCACGUCGCGAGAACGGAUCCGACAGUGAGGGACGAAAGCUAGGGUCUCGAACCGGAUUAGAUACCCGGGUAGUCCUAGCCGUAAACAAUGCCUGCUAGGUGUGGCUCCCACUACGAGUGGGUGCUGUGCCGUAGGGAAGCCGCUAAGCAGGCCGCCUGGGAAGUACGUCCGCAAGGAUGAAACUUAA